GCCGAAGUGGUGGAAUUGGUAGACACGCUAUCUUGAGGGGGUAGUGGACUUAGGUCCGUGGAGGUUCAAAUCCUCUCUUCGGCACCA
This 87-nucleotide transfer RNA is filed under the name Pseudomonadales bacterium. Its description in RNAcentral is "tRNA-Leu". It matches the Rfam family "tRNA". From Rfam's summary of the family: Transfer RNA (tRNA) molecules are approximately 80 nucleotides in length. The record is from RNAcentral. Lineage: Bacteria; Pseudomonadati; Pseudomonadota; Gammaproteobacteria; Pseudomonadales. RNAcentral also lists the same sequence under 3 other names.